This 71-nucleotide transfer RNA is filed under the name Podarcis lilfordi (Lilford's wall lizard). Its description in RNAcentral is "tRNA.Ala". The stretch from base 6 to 63 matches the Rfam family "tRNA", at positions 8 to 63 of the family's 71-position model. From Rfam's summary of the family: Transfer RNA (tRNA) molecules are approximately 80 nucleotides in length. Lineage: Eukaryota; Metazoa; Chordata; Lepidosauria; Squamata; Lacertidae. The record is from RNAcentral.
GGCAAUAGCUCAGUGGUUAGAGCCCCUGCUUUGCAUGCAGGAGGUCCCAGGUUCAAUCCCCAGCAUCUCCA